Molecule: transfer RNA, 74 nt
Filed under: Caudoviricetes sp.
Lineage: Duplodnaviria; Heunggongvirae; Uroviricota; Caudoviricetes
Description: tRNA-Lys
Rfam family: tRNA
About the family: Transfer RNA (tRNA) molecules are approximately 80 nucleotides in length.
Source: RNAcentral
GCCGCUUUAGCUCAGUCUGGCAGAGCACCGGACUUUUAAUCCGGGGGGCGUGGGUUCAAGCCCCACAGGCGGCA